RNAcentral lists this ribosomal RNA (492 nucleotides) under uncultured bacterium. RNAcentral describes it as "partial 16S ribosomal RNA". It matches the Rfam family "Bacterial small subunit ribosomal RNA", at positions 29 to 507 of the family's 1533-position model. The record is from RNAcentral.
AGUGAACGCUGGCGGUAGGCCUAACACAUGCAAGUCGAACGGCAGCACAGUAAGAGCUUGCUCUUACGGGUGGCGAGUGGCGGACGGGUGAGGAAUACAUCGGAAUCUACUUUUUCGUGGGGGAUAACGUAGGGAAACUUACGCUAAUACCGCAUACGACCUACGGGUGAAAGCAGGGGAUCUUCGGACCUUGCGCGAUUGAAUGAGCCGAUGUCGGAUUAGCUAGUUGGCGGGGUAAAGGCCCACCAAGGCGACGAUCCGUAGCUGGUCUGAGAGGAUGAUCAGCCACACUGGGACUGAGACACGGUCCAGACUCCUACGGGAGGCAGCAGUGGGGAAUAUUGGACAAUGGGCGCAAGCCUGAUCCAGCCAUACCGCGUGGGUGAAGAAGGCCUUCGGGUUGUAAAGCCCUUCUGUUGGGAAAGAAAAGCAGCAGGUUAAUACCCCGCUGUUCUGACGGUACCCAAAGAAUAAGCACCGGCUAACUUCGUG